ACAGGAGUUGUAGUAAUUUUAACCAGAGAAUGUGAACUCUACAGCCCUUGCUGGACAAUCUAUUGUUUUUCAUGGUGAGAUGGGUGCAGUACUGAUCACAUGAGAUGGGUGACCAGUGUCCCAUCUUGCCAGGGAGGUCAACAGAAGUUUAGCUGCUGACAUCAUGAACAGGAUUGCAACCCGUAUC
This 187-nucleotide long non-coding RNA is filed under the name Coturnix japonica (Japanese quail). RNAcentral describes it as "lncRNA (ENSCJPG00005013587.1)". Lineage: Eukaryota; Metazoa; Chordata; Aves; Galliformes; Phasianidae. The record is from RNAcentral.